Molecule: long non-coding RNA, 466 nt
Organism: Cavia porcellus (domestic guinea pig)
Lineage: Eukaryota; Metazoa; Chordata; Mammalia; Rodentia; Caviidae
Exons: 3
Source: RefSeq, a predicted model, not a curated record
GAUCGAACUCACGACCACCUGCUUGCAAGGCAGGUGCUUAUGCCACUGAGCUAAAACCUCAGCCCUGAAGAAUCUGAAUUUCAAAAUGAGUGGAAUGGCACUAGAUGAGGAUACUGAGGUUUCCUGUCUCAAGCCAGCAGUACCUCUGAUUAUACACCUGAGCAUUUCACUACAAACGAGGAACUACGUGGGCAGACCAGGUCCUGAAUGUUUGGAGAAAUGGCUGAAACCCAAAAAUCCAUCGGGAUGACAGAACGGACAACAGCUUCCAAGGAUUCUUGGAGUCAGAAAGCCAUACCUCGUACGUCAGAGAAUCAUAUCUGACUGUCAGACUGGGAGGAUGGCAGUAAGAAAAACCAAAAAGAAACUGAAGGCAGAAGAAAAACUGAGGUAGACACAUGGACCAGAUGAAAACAUCAUCCUUGUUAACUCUGAAGAAAAUUAAAGUUUAUGUGGAUGUAGAUCA